This 384-nucleotide ribosomal RNA is filed under the name uncultured bacterium. RNAcentral's name for it is "bacterial SSU rRNA". It matches the Rfam family "Bacterial small subunit ribosomal RNA", at positions 30 to 415 of the family's 1533-position model. The record is from RNAcentral.
AUUGAACGCUGGCGGCAUGCCUUACACAUGCAAGUCGAACGGCAGCACGGGAGCAAUCCUGGUGGCGAGUGGCGAACGGGUGAGUAAUAUAUCGGAACGUGCCCAGUCGUGGGGAUAACGUAGCGAAAGCUACGCUAAUACCGCAUACGAUCUACGGAUGAAAGCGGGGGAUCGCAAGACCUCGCGCGAUUGGAGCGGCCGAUAUCAGAUUAGGUAGUUGGUGAGGUAAAGGCUCACCAAGCCGACGAUCUGUAGCUGGUCUGAGAGGACGACCAGCCACACUGGGACUGAGACACGGCCCAGACUCCUACGGGAGGCAGCAGUGGGGAAUUUUGGACAAUGGGCGCAAGCCUGAUCCAGCAAUGCCGCGUGCAGGAUGAAGCU